UAGGGGAACGAAACUUCACUAUCACCCGCAGGAGUAAUAGCUGCAGAUUUUCCUGGAGGGAUGAGGCCUUCUGACAGCCAUGAAGUAUCCCAGUUAAAUG
This is a regulatory RNA element of Pseudobacteroides cellulosolvens, 100 nucleotides long. It matches the Rfam family "Pyrrolysine insertion sequence 1". The record is from Rfam. Lineage: Bacteria; Bacillati; Bacillota; Clostridia; Eubacteriales; Oscillospiraceae.